Molecule: ribosomal RNA, 507 nt
Filed under: uncultured bacterium
Lineage: Bacteria
Description: bacterial SSU rRNA
Rfam family: Bacterial small subunit ribosomal RNA
Source: RNAcentral
UGAAUGAGUAGUAAUACGAGUUCAGUCUAGUGGCGCUUUUGUGAGUAACAUGUGAAUUACAUGCCCUUCAGUGGGGAAUUGCCCAGGGAAACUUGGAUUAAUACCCCAUGGUAUCGCAAGAUUAAAGGUGGCCGCAAGGCUGUCGCUGAAGGAUUGGUUCGCACCCUAUCAGCUUGUUGGUGAGGUAAUGGCUCACCAAGGCUACGACGGGUACCUGGUCUGAGAGGACGAUCAGGCACACUGGAACUGAGACACGGUCCAGACACCUACGGGUGGCAGCAGUCGAGAAUAAUUCACAAUGGGGGCAACCCUGAUGGUGCAACGCCGCGUGGAGGAUGACGGUCUUCGGAUUGUAAACUCCUGUCAUCUGGGAGUAAGACCUGGUCGUUAAUAGCGGACAGGGUUGAUAGUACCAGAAGAGGAAGGGACGGCUAACUUCGUGCCACCAGCCGCGGUAAUACGAAGGUCCCAAGCGUUGUUCGGAAUCACUGGGCGUAAAGGGAGCGU